UCCCUAGUACGGCGAGUGAAGCGGGAAGAGCUCAAAUUUGAAAUCUGGUAGCCUUCGGUUGCCCGAGUUGUAAUCUAGAGAAGUGUUUUCCGCGUUGGCCCAUGUACAAGUCCCUUGGAACAGGGCGUCAUAGAGGGUGAGAAUCCCGUCCUUGACAUGGACCCCCAAUGCUUUGUGAUACACUUUCAACGAGUCGAGUUGUUUGGGAAUGCAGCUCAAAAUGGGUGGUGAAUUCCAUCUAAAGCUAAAUAUUGGCGAGAGACCGAUAGCGAACAAGUACCGUGAGGGAAAGAUGAAAAGCACUUUGGAAAGAGAGUUAAACAGUACGUGAAAUUGUUGAAAGGGAAACGAUUGAAGUCAGUCAUGCUCUUUGGAUUAAGCCGUUCUGCGGUGUAUUUCAUUGAGCGGGGUCAACAUCAGUUUUGAUCGCUGGAAAAGGGCAGGAGGAAGGUAGCACUCUCGGGUGAACUUAUAGCCUCUUGUCGUAUACAGUGAUUGGGACUGAGGAACGCAGCAUGCCUUUUGGCCGGGAUUCGUCCACGUACAUGCUUAGGAUGUUGACAUAAUGGCUUUAAACGACCCGUCUUGAAACACGGACCAC
RNAcentral lists this ribosomal RNA (601 nucleotides) under Naganishia friedmannii. RNAcentral describes it as "eukaryotic LSU rRNA". It matches the Rfam family "Eukaryotic large subunit ribosomal RNA", at positions 77 to 669 of the family's 3401-position model. Lineage: Eukaryota; Fungi; Basidiomycota; Tremellomycetes; Filobasidiales; Filobasidiaceae. The record is from RNAcentral.